RNAcentral lists this ribosomal RNA (253 nucleotides) under uncultured bacterium. RNAcentral's name for it is "partial 16S ribosomal RNA". It matches the Rfam family "Bacterial small subunit ribosomal RNA", at positions 524 to 776 of the family's 1533-position model. The record is from RNAcentral.
UACGUAGGGCGCAAGCGUUGUCCGGAAUUAUUGGGCGUAAAGAGCUCGUAGGCGGUUUGUCACGUCGGAUGUGAAAGCCCGGGGCUUAACUCCGGGUCUGCAUUCGAUACGGGCAGACUAGAGUGUGGUAGGGGAGAUCGGAAUUCCUGGUGUAGCGGUGAAAUGCGCAGAUAUCAGGAGGAACACCGGUGGCGAAGGCGGAUCUCUGGGCCAUUACUGACGCUGAGGAGCGAAAGCGUGGGGAGCGAACAGG